AGAAUGCAAAGAUUUUUUAGUAAAAAUUGGGUUUGAAUCUGACACUGGAUUUUAUAAUUUGAAUUUCAUACUGCAAUUUAAAGACUAUGAGGAAUUUCUACAGCACGUGAAAACAAGGAUUGACAUCGCCAGUUAUAAUGAAGUUAUUUUAACUGAAAAAUAUAGUUACAUAGGUGAAUUUUAUACUUCAAUCUAUAAUGAAAAACCUCAGGAUCUUGAAGAUAAUGUACUAAAGACUCCACACAGCUAUUGUUCUGAAAUUAUAGACGAUGAAAGU
Molecule: long non-coding RNA, 277 nt
Organism: Metopolophium dirhodum (rose-grain aphid)
Lineage: Eukaryota; Metazoa; Arthropoda; Insecta; Hemiptera; Aphididae
Exons: 7
Source: RefSeq, a predicted model, not a curated record